GCUGGCAAAGCUUUGAAGAUAAGCGAAAAGGGCAGUGGACUGUACCCACAGGGGCGCUGUCAGAAGAGCAGAGAACUUCAGCACUGGCGGUCGGAGAGCUCCCAGCUUUCAAAGUGAUCUGCGGUGAAGCCAGAUUCUUCAGCAAGAACCCUAUAAGGCAGCCCACAGCUGAAACGAGUAAAGCGCUUCAGAACCGGGUUUCCGGACAGUUCUCAGUCCUUUAAGACUGCCCGAGCCCAGCUCUUUAGCCACCCACUGGGUUGCAGGAGAGAGUUAGCUGACCUUCGGUCAACAGAAGCAAGGGAGACCACAAUGCCCACCAGACCAUGCACCACAAAAACCAUGGGACAAGGACCAAUGCUAAAGAUCACACCAAGUGAGACGUGAGCAAUGCCUGCAUCCAGGAAUGGACAUGAUGACUGAAUUAAGAUCCCAUUUAGAUAAAUCACAAUUUCAAAAUAGAACCUUCUACAUCUCUUUUCAUCAUUGACUGGCUUUGCGACCCUGAAAGGAAGAAUGAAGAGACAGAGAGGAGAAUGUCAAUGCCACAGAAUCACAGAUCCAGAAGGUACCUCAGAGACCACUCGGUCCAACUCAUAAAUGAACAAGAAUUCCCUCUACAAUAUGCCCAUCAAGUGGUUAUCCAGUCUCUGCUUAAAGACUUCCAUUCAGGGGGAACCCCCUUCCUUGAAAGGCAGCCCAUUCCAUAUUGAUCCCAUACCCUCCCAUCUUCUCCAACAGAUUGGAUUCUUUUUCUAUCUUUAAUAUUCAAAAUCUCUCUACUGGUAGCUACUAUUACCAGAC
This is a long non-coding RNA of Vombatus ursinus (common wombat), 804 nucleotides long. RefSeq lists it as uncharacterized. The record is from RefSeq and is a predicted model, not a curated record. Lineage: Eukaryota; Metazoa; Chordata; Mammalia; Diprotodontia; Vombatidae. The transcript is spliced from 6 exons.